GACGAACGCUGGCGGCGCGCUUAACACAUGCAAGUCGAACGUGAAGCCCGGGCUUGCCCGGGUGGAAAGUGGCGAACGGGUGCGUAACACGUGAGCAACCUGCCCCGAAGACCGGGAUAACACCGGGAAACCGGUGCUAAUACCGGAUGCCCUCAUCAUGUCGCAUGGCGAGAUGAGGAAAUGGAUUCCGCUUCGGGAUGGGCUCGCGGCCUAUCAGCUUGUUGGUGAGGUAAUGGCUCACCAAGGCGACGACGGGUAGCUGGUCUGAGAGGAUGUCCAGCCACACUGGGACUGAGACACGGCCCAGACUCCUACGGGAGGCAGCAGUGGGGAAUCUUGCACAAUGGGCGAAAGCCUGAUGCAGCGACGCCGCGUGAGGGAUGACGGCCUUCGGGUUGUAAACCUCUUUCAGCAGGGACGAAGCGAAAGUGACGGUACCUGCAGAAGAAGGACCGGCCAACUACGUGCCAGCAGCCGCAGUAAAAC
This 486-nucleotide ribosomal RNA is filed under the name uncultured bacterium. Its description in RNAcentral is "bacterial SSU rRNA". It matches the Rfam family "Bacterial small subunit ribosomal RNA", at positions 28 to 526 of the family's 1533-position model. The record is from RNAcentral.